Molecule: non-coding RNA, 951 nt
Filed under: Oligocottus maculosus (tidepool sculpin)
Lineage: Eukaryota; Metazoa; Chordata; Actinopteri; Perciformes; Cottidae
Description: partial small subunit ribosomal RNA
Rfam family: Bacterial small subunit ribosomal RNA
Source: RNAcentral
CAAAAACUUGGUCCUGAUUUUACUGUCAGCUCUGGCCAAACUUACACAUGCAAGUAUCCGCACCCCCGUGAGAAUGCCCCACAAUCCUCCGCCCGAGGACUAGGAGCUGGUAUCAGGCACCCCCCCCCCGCCCACGACACCUUGCUUAGCCACACCCCCAAGGGAACUCAGCAGUGAUAGACAUUAAGCCAUAAGUGAAAACUUGACUUAGUCAAAGCCAAACAGGGCCGGUAAAACUCGUGCCAGCCACCGCGGUUAUACGAGAGGCCCAAGUUGACAGAUGCCGGCGUAAAACGUGGCUAGACUGAACCCCAACUAAAGCCAAACACCUUCAAAGCUGUGAUACGCAAACGAAGGCAGGAAAUACUACCACGAAAGUGGCUUUAUCCAAUUUGAACCCACGAAAGCUAGGGAACAAACUGGGAUUAGACACCCCACUAUGCCUAGCCCUAAACAUUGAUAGCACCUUACAUCCGCUAUCCGCCCGGGAACUACGAGCAACAGCUUAAAACCCAAAGGACUUGGCGGUGCUUUAGACCCCCCUAGAGGAGCCUGUUCUAGAACCGAUAACCCCCGUUCAACCUCACCUCUCCUUGUUUAACCCGCCUAUAUACCGCCGUCGUCAGCUUACCCUGUGAAGGUCCAAUAGUAAGCAAGCUUGGUAAAACCUAAAACGUCAGGUCGAGGUGUAGCGUAUGCAGAGGGAAGAAAUGGGCUACAUUCACUACUACAGUGAACACGAAUGGUGUGCUGAAACGCACCCCUGAAGGAGGAUUUAGCAGUAAACAGGAAAUAGAGCGUCCCGCUGAAACUGGCCCUGAAGCGCGCACACACCGCCCGUCACUCUCCCCAAAAACCCCUCCCCAACAAUUUAACUUAAAACCCAACACCCACUAAAGGGGAGGCAAGUCGUAACAUGGUAAGUGUACCGGAAGGUGCGCUUGGUCAAUC